Molecule: ribosomal RNA, 253 nt
Filed under: uncultured bacterium
Lineage: Bacteria
Description: partial 16S ribosomal RNA
Rfam family: Bacterial small subunit ribosomal RNA
Source: RNAcentral
UACGGGGGGGGCAAGCGUUGUUCGGAAUUACUGGGCGUAAAGGGUGCGUAGGUGGCGCUGUAAGUCGGGUGUGAAAUCCUGAGGCUUAACCUCGGAACUGCAUUCGAUACUGCGGCGCUUGAGGACUGGAGAGGAGACUGGAAUUCAUGGUGUAGCAGUGAAAUGCGUAGAGAUCAUGAGGAAGACCAGUGGCGAAGGCGGGUCUCUGGACAGUUCCUGACACUGAGGCACGAAGGCCAGGGGAGCAAACGGG